CAGUAUACUUUAUUAAGAGAAAAAAUUAAGCUAGAUUAUUAGUAGAUAUGUUCUUGAAAUUCAAAGAAUUUGGCGGCACCUUAAUCCUAUUAGAGGAACCUGUUUUAUAAACGAUAAACCACGAAGAAUCUUACUGGCUUUAAGUAGUUUGUAUACCGUCAUUAUUAGAUGAUUUCGAGAGAAGUGAAUCAUUGAAAUUAACAAGAGUUAAGGAUAUUAGAUCAAGGUGCAGCUGAUAAGAAAGUAAAAAUGGGUUACAUUAAAUUAAUUUAUACGGAAAGAUUUUUUAAAUAAAUCGGUAAGGCGGAUUUAAUUGUAUAUUUAAGUUUAGUAUGUUAAAUAGAAAUUGGCCCUAGGGUGUGU
RNAcentral lists this ribosomal RNA (363 nucleotides) under Paguropsina pistillata. RNAcentral's name for it is "partial 12S ribosomal RNA". The record is from RNAcentral. Lineage: Eukaryota; Metazoa; Arthropoda; Malacostraca; Decapoda; Diogenidae.